This 468-nucleotide ribosomal RNA is filed under the name uncultured bacterium. RNAcentral describes it as "partial 16S ribosomal RNA". It matches the Rfam family "Bacterial small subunit ribosomal RNA", at positions 28 to 507 of the family's 1533-position model. The record is from RNAcentral.
GACGAACGCUGGCGGCGUGCUUAACACAUGCCAGUCGAACGGAAAGGCCCUGCUUUUGUGGGGUGCUCGAGUGGCGAACGGGUGAGUAACACGUGAGUAACCUGCCCUUGACUUUGGGAUAACUUCAGGAAACUGGGGCUAAUACCGGAUAGGAGCUCCUGCUGCAUGGUGGGGGUUGGAAAGUUUCGGCGGUUGGGGCUGGACUCGCGGCUUAUCAGCUUGUUGGUGGGGUAGUGGCUUACCAAGGCUUUGACGGGUAGCCGGCCUGAGAGGGUGACCGGCCACAUGGGGACUGAGAUACGGCCCAGACUCCUACGGGAGGCAGCAGUGGGGAAUAUUGCACAAUGGGCGGAAGCCUGAUGCAGCAACGCCGCGUGCGGGAUGACGGCCUUCGGGUUGUAAACCGCUUUCGCCUGUGACGAAGCGUGAGUGACGGUAAUGGGUAAAGAAGCACCGGCUAACUACGUG